Molecule: unclassified non-coding RNA, 339 nt
Filed under: soil metagenome
Description: partial contains 5.8S ribosomal RNA, internal transcribed spacer 2, and large subunit ribosomal RNA
Rfam family: 5.8S ribosomal RNA (bases 1-121)
Source: RNAcentral
GAUGAAGAACGUAGUGAAAUGCGAUAAGUAAUGCGAAUUGCAGAAUUCCAGUGAGUCAUCGAAUCUUUGAACGCACAUUGCGCCCAUUGGUAUUCCGAUGGGCAUGCCUGUUCGAGCGUCAUUUCAACCCUUAAGCCUCUGUUGCUUAGCGUUGGGAGCCUACCUACCCGGUAGAUCCUCAAAGUUAGCUGGCAGGGUCGAGGUUCGCCCUAAGCGUAGUAGUUCUUUCUCGCUUCUGCGGCUGCCUAGGCCAUCGCCACAAGACUUUUAAACUUCAAUGGUUGACCUCGGAUCAGGUAGGAAUACCCGCUGAACUUAAGCAUAUCAAUAAGCGGAGGA